RNAcentral lists this ribosomal RNA (451 nucleotides) under uncultured bacterium. RNAcentral describes it as "bacterial SSU rRNA". It matches the Rfam family "Bacterial small subunit ribosomal RNA", at positions 30 to 506 of the family's 1533-position model. The record is from RNAcentral.
UGAACGCUGGCGGCGUGCCUAAUACAUGCAAGUCGAACGGGAUACAGCAAUGUAUCUAGUGGCGACCGGGCGCGUAACACGUAGCUGACCUGCCCCUCGGCGGGGGACAACAGUACGAAAGUGCUGCUAAUACCGCAUACCUUUCUGGCGAUUAGAAGGCGAGAAAGAAACUUUUGGGGCCGAGGGAGGGGGCUGCGGCCCAUCAGGUAGUUGGUGAGGUAACGGCUCACCAAGCCAACGACGGGUCGGGGGCCUGAGAGGGUGGCCCCCCACACUGGGACUGACACACGGCCCAGACUCCUACGGGAGGCAGCAGUAAGGGAUAUUGCGCAAUGGGCGAAAGCCUGACGCAGCAACGCCGCGUGCAGGAUGAAGGCCUUCGGGUCGUAAACUGCUUUGGCGCGGGACGAGGAAGGACGGUACCGCGCGAACAAGUCACGGCUAACUACGU